This is a non-coding RNA of Copromyces sp. CBS 386.78, 81 nucleotides long. The record is from the annotation of a GenBank genome assembly. NCBI's taxonomy places the organism in Eukaryota, Fungi, Ascomycota, Sordariomycetes, Sordariales, Sordariaceae.
GGUCCGCUGGCUCAAUAGUAGAGCGUCUGACUACGAAUUAGGAGGUUAGGUAGGUUCCAGGUUCGACCCCUAGGUGGAUCG